Molecule: ribosomal RNA, 119 nt
Organism: Bos grunniens (domestic yak)
Lineage: Eukaryota; Metazoa; Chordata; Mammalia; Artiodactyla; Bovidae
Source: Ensembl
GUCUAUGGCCAUACUACCCUGAACGCGCCCGAUCUCAUCUGAUCUCGGAAGCUAAGUAGGGUCGGGCCUGGUUAGUACUUGGAUGGGAGACCGCCUGGGAAUACCAGGUGCUGUAGGCU